RNAcentral lists this ribosomal RNA (128 nucleotides) under Vitex rotundifolia. RNAcentral describes it as "partial 5.8S ribosomal RNA". It matches the Rfam family "5.8S ribosomal RNA", at positions 32 to 154 of the family's 154-position model. From Rfam's summary of the family: 5.8S ribosomal RNA (5.8S rRNA) is a component of the large subunit of the eukaryotic ribosome. It is transcribed by RNA polymerase I as part of the 45S precursor that also contains 18S and 28S rRNA. Functionally, it is thought that 5.8S rRNA may be involved in ribosome translocation. The record is from RNAcentral. Lineage: Eukaryota; Viridiplantae; Streptophyta; Magnoliopsida; Lamiales; Lamiaceae.
AUCGAUGAAGAACGUAGCGAAAUGCGAUACUUGGUGUGAAUUGCAGAAUCCCGUGAACCAUCGAGUCUUUGAACGCAAGUUGCGCCCGAAGCCGUCAGGCCGAGGGCACGUCUGCCUGGGCGUCACGC